CUUCUUGUCGGAUAUGGAUCCCUAAAAAUUUAAGUACCAGUUCGUCGAAACGAUUCUGUGCACUUUCAGCACCAUUUUUGUGAUACUGCUCGACGAAAGAUUUAAUCAAUAAGUGCACUUGACAUAAAUAUAACCGCUAGGAAUGAAAAUGUUUGUCGGUGUCGGUCAUGCAAAUGCGAAUACGCCCACGGCAAGUUCUUAGUGACUGAUUGGACAGGCGGAGAAAGCUUCGGAGGUCAGACGAUGAGCUGGUCCUAAUCUCACAAAAGACGGAAGUGAUUUUAUACCUAACUACUAGUGUUCCAAGAUCUACCACUGCUUCUACAGUUUCUUUAUCACAACUAAUCGAUCGUUCGGGGUUCACACACGUUCAAUAUGCACUAUAGAGAGUAUUGACAAAACUGUUAAAAGUGUAAUGGAAAAAAAUUGGAUUGACGAUGUGCAUCCUAAGAUGGACGUAUGUAAUUCCAUCAAUCCGUCCGUAACGGCCCGCUAUUGGUCCCAAGCAAUUGAUUGCGAGCCACUAAUUGCCCUGCAAAGAAAAAUGCGUCGGAUGAAUUGUGAAGGACGUGAGAGUUAAAUCAGAAGUUAAGGCGAUCAACCUGAUGGCAAGCGAUGAACGGCAAAAUUCGGCCGCUCAGUCUAAUCGAUACUCUAUAGAAAACAUUAAAAGGCUCUCAUAAGAGCAUAAUUUAUGUCAGACUGCAGGAAGGGUAGUAAGUGGCAGGAUGAGAAAAAUCUAUCAGAGCAGAACCAAGAAAGCAGUUUGGAAAGUGCUCAAUGAAUUACUGAAUAUCACUCAUUAGUAACUCAACAAGACAGUAAAUU
This is a long non-coding RNA of Topomyia yanbarensis, 828 nucleotides long. RefSeq lists it as uncharacterized. Lineage: Eukaryota; Metazoa; Arthropoda; Insecta; Diptera; Culicidae. The transcript has 4 exons. The record is from RefSeq and is a predicted model, not a curated record.